Long non-coding RNA from Ictalurus punctatus (channel catfish), 1881 nucleotides. Lineage: Eukaryota; Metazoa; Chordata; Actinopteri; Siluriformes; Ictaluridae. The record is from Ensembl.
CUGGAAUCUGAAUCGUCCCGAAAGCUCCGACGAGAAAAAAAACGAGGCCGAGGCCUGGAGAGAAGAAAAAAUGUCGGUUCGCGCAUUUCUCCAGAAACUUGGACCGCUGAAUGAUGGUCGUGAAUCUGCAUCCGAGACGAGCAGUCUCGAAAAGUUCUCGAACUGGAAAACGUCCAGGUUCCUUCUGGUUGGCCGAGCGAGCCGUGCCAAUCGGUUCAAUAUGGCUCGACUUGUUUUCCUAAAGACCUAAAGUUCGGCGUCGAAGUAGGAUGUCGCGUGCAGGGCCCCGGGGGAGUCUGGAGCCUAUCCGAAGGAACUCGGGACACAAGAACUCGGGUUCCAACCCAUCACAUGGCACAUUCACACAAUACGGACAAUUUUGAAAUGCCAAUCAGCCUACAACGCAUGUCUUUGGACUCAGGGAGGAAACUGGAGUACCCGGAGGGAACCCCUGAAGCACUGGGAGAACACGCAUACUCUGCACACACAGGGCGGAGGCGGGAUUCAAACCUCCAAACCUCGGAGGCGCGAGGCAAACAUGCUAACCACUAAGCCAGUUGGUCGUAGACAUAAUUAGGCUCAAGUCUCCAUAGCUGCUUUGUGACGUUGUCUAUUGUUAAAAGCAUCACACACACACACACACACACACACACACACAAAUGAAAUUCAAAACCCCUUAUUAUAUCAUGUACUUGUUUUGUUAGUGAUGGGAUGAUUGCAGGAUGUGGAGAGUCACCGCACAGGGUGGAAGCUUAUCGUAAAUGCGUAUUAUUCGUUUAAAAUGUUUAAAAAAAAUUGUGCACAGCCCAAACUGUCAAUACGAUGAGGCUCACUGUGCGAUCAAUUGACCAAUAAGAAUAAUAGUUUAGAGACUACAGAGAAUUGUUAACACUGAUUUCUUCCACCCAGUCCUGUUCUGGUGUCCUGUCUAGUCAGCAUGCACAGUUGUAUAUUUUGAACACUGGUGUGUGUUUGUGUGUGUGUAAUCCUGUGCUGCAUUACGUACUACUGUAUCGUGUGUGGCGCCUGUGUUAAAUUCCCGAAGAAACAACAUUUUGUUCCACUGUGUACAGGUUCUCCGAGGCGGAAUGGCAGAAAAUAAGGGGAAAUGUACGGGAGAUAUCAUUAUAGCUCAGGCUAGUAGGGGUGUCAUGAAAAGACACUCUUAGUAUCUGUUUAGUGCUCUGUAUCUGUAUUUGAAUUUAACACGUUAACGAGAAGGCCCACCAAAACCCUGGAAAAAACGGGAUUCCGGCUCUGACAAUUCGUCAACCUCAGCUACGUCGCUCGAGUUCAUAAUCGGUCUCGCGGUUGUUCUUUUGGUUCGUACUUGCUUGCAAUAUUUUCAAACUUUUUUCUCAAAACAAACUAGUAGCCUAAAUGAACCAACACAGCCCAGACUAAGUGGUUACCUCACGUCGACGUUAACAAACGUGGUCUGUCUUUGCCGCAAGAGCAUCAUAUCUGACCACGGUAAAUACCGUGGUGAGAAAGAAGAGCGUCUGUAUGGAAACUGUAUGGCUAUAAACAACGUAACUUCUACUAGAAACUUCUGCUUCAUAAUGUACGUUUAUAGGCGAGAUCUGUUAUUCUGAUCUGACCUAUUCUCGUUUCGCAGCGCUACAUUGUUCCGCACUGUUUCUAAUUAAAGCUCUGCCGUGAAGGUUUGCCCGCUGCACCACACCCUCCGGCAGCCACCGUCUAAAAUCAGAUUAGCAAGCGGUGUCCCAACAGACACAUGAUUUAUCUCGUGUACACUUAUCUCCCUGUAAGUGAAGGAAAUCCACAGUAAAGGAGAAUAAAACCACACCACAGUCACGCCACCAGCCUGAGAGAAAUGAAACGCCGCUUUUACAGCUUUUACUGAAAAUAAAAGAAAAA